RNAcentral lists this small RNA (931 nucleotides) under uncultured fungus. Its description in RNAcentral is "eukaryotic LSU rRNA". The stretch from base 509 to 931 matches the Rfam family "Eukaryotic large subunit ribosomal RNA", at positions 1 to 429 of the family's 3401-position model. Lineage: Eukaryota; Fungi. The record is from RNAcentral.
UCCGUAGGUGAACCUGCGGAGGGAUCAUUACAGAGUUGCAAAACUCCCUAAACCAUUGUGAACGUUACCUAAACCGUUGCUUCGGCGGGCGGCCCGGGUCCUUCCCGGCGCCCCCCGGCCCUCGCGGGCGCCCGCCGGAGGUAAACCAAACUAUUGCAUUAAUGGCCUCUCUGAGUCUUCUGUACUGAAUAAGUCAAAACUUUCAACAACGGAUCUCUUGGUUCUGGCAUCGAUGAAGAACGCAGCGAAAUGCGAUAAGUAAUGUGAAUUGCAGAAUUCAGUGAAUCAUCGAAUCUUUGAACGCACAUUGCGCCCGCCAGUAUUCUGGCGGGCAUGCCUGUUCGAGCGUCAUUUCAACCAUCAAGCCCCCGGCUUGUGUUGGGGACCUGCGGCUGCCGCAGGCCCUGAAAUGCAGUGGCGGGCUCGCUGUCACUCCGAGCGUAGUAGUUACAUCUCGCUCUGGGCGUGCUGCGGGUUCCGGCCGUUAAAAGCCUUAUUUACCCAAGGUUGACCUCGGAUCAGGUAGGAAGACCCGCUGAACUUAAGCAUAUCAAUAAGCGGAGGAAAAGAAACCAACAGGGAUUGCCCUAGUAACGGCGAGUGAAGCGGCAACAGCUCAAAUUUGAAAUCUGGCUUCGGCCCGAGUUGUAAUUUGCAGAGGAAGCUUUGGGCGCGGCACCGACUGAGUCCCCUGGAACGGGGCGCCAUAGAGGGUGAGAGCCCCGUAUAGACGGACGCUAAGCCUGUGUAAAGCUCCUUCGACGAGUCGAGUAGUUUGGGAAUGCUGCUCAAAAUGGGAGGUAAAUUUCUUCUAAAGCUAAAUACCGGCCAGAGACCGAUAGCGCACAAGUAGAGUGAUCGAAAGAUGAAAAGCACUUUGAAAAGAGGGUUAAAUAGCACGUGAAAUUGUUGAAAGGGAAACGCUUGAAGU